CUUGCUUCUGAGUAGUAACCAUAAGGGAAAAAAAAGCAGCACUAAGUUUCCUGGGCUUGGGAAUCCUGAAUACACCAGUUCCAGAGAAGGAAGAUAAUGUGGUGUCAACAAAAUACUUUGCAAACAAGGAAGUGGCAAGAUCCCGGGAGGAGAAGUGGCUCUGUGUGCAGCUCAGAAAUUGAGACCACGCCAUGGCGUCACAAAGCCACCGGAGCUCCAGGGCUGUGCUAAAAUACAGAAUGAGUGUCUUACUGCUAACCUGUGUGGUUCUGGAGGCUGGAAAUUCCAACAUCAAAGCACUGAUACUCAGUGUCUGGAAAAAUAGGAAAUUAAGUGUAUCCUGGUAGAGCAACUUGGUUGAUAAAGUAACACUUUUUCUCAUUAAGAGGAAGUUUGGGGCUCACUUCAUUUUACUCACUGCCACUCCUGAUGCAAAAGAG
RNAcentral lists this long non-coding RNA (440 nucleotides) under Homo sapiens (human). RNAcentral's name for it is "HSALNT0078770". Lineage: Eukaryota; Metazoa; Chordata; Mammalia; Primates; Hominidae. The record is from RNAcentral.